This 467-nucleotide ribosomal RNA is filed under the name Mysis mixta. Its description in RNAcentral is "eukaryotic LSU rRNA". The stretch from base 404 to 467 matches the Rfam family "Eukaryotic large subunit ribosomal RNA", at positions 1 to 64 of the family's 3401-position model. Lineage: Eukaryota; Metazoa; Arthropoda; Malacostraca; Mysida; Mysidae. The record is from RNAcentral.
CAUCGACAUUUUGAACGCAUAUUGCGCCCACGGCUUAAUUAUUACUAUUGCUGUGGGCACUCCAGAUCGAGGGUCGUAUGAUGAAAUGCAUCCAUCUGAUUGAAUUUUUAAAAUUUGAUUUGCUUUGAGCUGUCGUGUUUACUUCGGUAAAUCGCGUCGCUUUAAAUUGACCAAUUCUUUUUAUGAGAAUGAGAAAGGCUAAAGAAGGUACCGACUUCACAUUAAGUCAGUAACUAUUAGGUCCACGUGAUUUUUUAUCCAUUUAUCGAUACGGGCGUGCCAUUCUGUGGCCAGAUGGUGUAUCAGGAUAUUUUUUCGGACUCUGUUGCUGGUGUGAGACCGUGUUCUAAGUACUUUGAAAGUCUUGAGCUUGCCCGUGGUUGGUGCAUUGCUAACUCUAUCACGACCUCGUUUCGGGAGAGACUACCCGCCAAAUUUAAGCAUAUCAAUAAGCGGAGGAAAAGAAA